Long non-coding RNA from Olea europaea var. sylvestris, 666 nucleotides. RefSeq lists it as uncharacterized. NCBI's taxonomy places the organism in Eukaryota, Viridiplantae, Streptophyta, Magnoliopsida, Lamiales, Oleaceae. The record is from RefSeq and is a predicted model, not a curated record. The transcript has 2 exons.
GAAUUAUGCUGUGGAAGACGAGUGUUUUUCCACCGUUACCCUCGAUAACUAAUGCUGGUCACGUUUCGUUUAGUAAAUUUGUUGCUUUUUGCAGGCUGUGGCAUUUUUAUGUGGCUUAAUUCAUAAUGGAAUUUCCUCCUGGAAGCAGCCUGGAGAGAGCAACAUUUGGAAUUUUAUGAAGGAGGACGAGAGAUGGUGGCUUUUGCCCACCAUCCUGCUACUUUUCAAGGCAGUUCAAGCUCGAUUUGUUGAUUGGCAUAUAGCAAAUUUAGAAGUCAGAGAUUUUUCUCUCUUCAGCCCUGACCCCGAUACGUUUUGGGCUUACGAAUCCAUUUCUUGACGCAAAACUGUUUCGGGGAGGACAUGGACCGGAUUUUGCAGCAUCUGUGCGGUAAAUAUGGUGUCGAGUACAUACAUCUCAAAAUACCAUAGGAUUUUGAAUCAGAGUUAUUACAGUGUUGUUAUUACCAUGUACAUAAAUGUACCCAUUUGUGCAUAGUUCUUUAGAGAAAAAAUAUGAUUGUGUGAAUAUAAUUUAAAGGCAGGCUGGUAGAUUACAAGUUGUUGUUUGGUUCUAUAUGUUAAUUCCAUUCUUUCUUGUCACUUCUGGGAGCAUAUGUUGGGAAAAUUGCAGUAAUGGUUCUCAACAUUUUGCUCGAGAAGCAA